AAGUGAGUAUUUUACAAAAAUUAAGUCUCUUUGCCAUGAAAUUUCUAAAUUAGAUUCUGAGUUUAAAAUUAGUGAAGGAAGAAUGAAGAGAAUUAUUAUUCAUGGCUUGAGAUGAGAGUUCAAUCCUAUCGUCAUCGUGAUAUGUGAUUAGGCAACUCAAUCAUCAUUAUUAGAAUUGGAGAAUCUAUUAGCCGCAUAGGAAGUUGGACAACAAAAAUGUAGGGACUUCUUUAAAAAAGGAAGAAGAAGCCUUGUUCAGCCAAAAAUGUAAAGGAAGACAAGGGUGUUGUGUUAGCGUAUGG
RNAcentral lists this unclassified non-coding RNA (302 nucleotides) under Hevea brasiliensis (rubber tree). The record is from RNAcentral. Lineage: Eukaryota; Viridiplantae; Streptophyta; Magnoliopsida; Malpighiales; Euphorbiaceae.